This 284-nucleotide ribosomal RNA is filed under the name uncultured bacterium. RNAcentral describes it as "partial 16S ribosomal RNA". It matches the Rfam family "Bacterial small subunit ribosomal RNA", at positions 123 to 406 of the family's 1533-position model. The record is from RNAcentral.
AACCUACCUUAAACUGGGGGAUAGCCCGGGGAAACUCGGAUUAAUACCCCAUAACACAUUUUGGUCACAUGACUAGAUUGUUAAAGAUUUAUCGGUUUAAGAUGGGCAUGCGUUCGAUUAGGUAGUUGGUGUGGGUAACGGCCCACCAAGCCUUCGAUCAGUAACUGGUGUGAGAGCACGACCAGUCACACGGGCACUGAGACACGGGCCCGACUCCUACGGGAGGCAGCAGUAAGGAAUAUUGGUCAAUGGAGGCAACUCUGAACCAGCCAUGCCGCGUGAAG